Non-coding RNA from Ictidomys tridecemlineatus (thirteen-lined ground squirrel), 379 nucleotides. NCBI's taxonomy places the organism in Eukaryota, Metazoa, Chordata, Mammalia, Rodentia, Sciuridae. The record is from RefSeq and is a predicted model, not a curated record.
GCGCCCGUGUGCUUCCGGUAGUGGCGGGUCAGCUCAUCUGAUCGUGCGAACCUCCAGUCGCAGCCCUCCCAGGUGCACUUGUAGGGCUUUUCACCUGUGACAACCAACAAACAGGCACAGAAUGAGUACCAGAUAUCUUUUCCUUCAUUUGCAGUUGACACAAUUAUCCCAGACCAGUGGAUUCCUCCCUGCUCUUAAAGAUGAAAGAACAAGUCCUAGAAGCAAAGUUUAAUCUUCCCAGUGAGUCACUGAAAAGAAAUUGUUUCUAAGCUUUCUCAUAAAUACCUCUUCAGGGUCUGAACCAGCAAGUCUCUUAAGGCUCAAACUUUUUUUUUUUUUUAAAUAAGCCAGAAAUUGUCAAUAUAGAAAAUAAAUUUCA